RNAcentral lists this ribosomal RNA (1674 nucleotides) under human gut metagenome. RNAcentral describes it as "bacterial LSU rRNA". It matches the Rfam family "Bacterial large subunit ribosomal RNA", at positions 829 to 2518 of the family's 2925-position model. The record is from RNAcentral.
CCAAUCGAACCCGGAGAUAGCUGGUUCUCCCCGAAAUAGCUUUAGGGCUAGCGUCGAGGUAGAGAGUUGCGUGAAGGUAGAGCACUGAAUAUGUGAUGGCCCCAUCUCGGGGUACUGAGCAUAAUCAAACUGCGAAUGUCACGGAAACAUACUCGGCAGUCAGACAGCGGGUGAUAAGGUCCGUUGUCAAGAGGGAAACAGCCCAGACCAUCAGCUAAGGUCCCAAAAUGUAUGCUAAGUGGAAAAGGAUGUGGAGAUGUACAGACAACUAGGAGGUUGGCUCAGAAGCAGCCAUCCUUUAAAGAGUGCGUAACAGCUCACUAGUCGAAUGACUCUGCGCCGAUAAUUUACCGGGGCUAAGCAUACUACCGAAGCUAUGGAUCCCAAGGGAUGGUAGGGGAGCGUUCCAUGAACGGAGAAGCGCGAUCGAGAGGACGCGUGGAGAUCAUGGAAGAGAGAAUGCCGGUGUGAGUAGCGGAACGUGGGUGAGAAUCCCACGCACCGAAAACCCAAGGUUUCCAGAGGAAGGUUCGUCCGCUCUGGGUAAGUCGGGACCUAAGGCGAGGCCGAGAGGCGUAGUCGAUGGACAACAGGUAGAGAUUCCUGUACUCAUAUAUAUGUGAAGGAAUGACGGAGAGAGGAAGCUGCAGCCAGCGGCUGGAAGAGCUGGUGCAAGCGAGAUAUCGGGAUGGCAGGCAAAUCCACCAUCCGAAACGAGAAGGCGUGAAGCGUACGGAAAGCUAAGGCGAGUACGGAAGGCAGUGGAGGAGCUUCCAAGAAAAGUUUCUAACGAAAGUAUAUGUGACCCGUACCGAAAAUGGACACACAUGGGUGAGGAGAGAAUCCUAAGGUGAGCGAGAGAACUAUAGCUAAGGAACUCUGCAAAAUGACUCCGUAACUUAGGGAGAAGGAGUGCUCAUAGAGAUAUGAGCCGCAGUGAAACGGCCCAAGCGACUGUUUACCAAAAACACAGCUCUCUGCUAAGCCGCAAGGCGAAGUAUAGGGGGUGACGCCUGCCCGGUGCUGGAAGGUUAAGGGGAGGGGUUAACGCAAGUGAAGCCCUGAACUGAAGCCCCAGUAAACGGCGGCCGUAACUAUAACGGUCCUAAGGUAGCGAAAUUCCUUGUCAGGUAAGUUCUGACCCGCACGAAAGGCGUAACGAUUUGGGCGCUGUCUCAGCUGUAGACUCGGUGAAGUCUUAGUACCUGUGAAGAUGCAGGUUACCCGCGACUAGACGGAAAGACCCCAUGGAGCUUCACUGCAGGUUGAUAUUGGGAUUUGAUGCAGCAUGUACAGGAUAGGUAGGAGGCAAAGAGAUGGAUACGCCAGUAUUCAAGGAGCCGCUGUUGGGAUACUACCCCUGUUGUAUUGGAUUUCUAACCGGACGACGUAAAGCCGUUGACGGGACAGUGUCAGUCGGGCAGUUUGACUGGGGCGGUCGCCUCCCAAAGAGUAACGGAGGCGCCCAAAGAUACCCUCAGCUUGGAUGGAAACCAAGCGCAGAGUGCAAAGGCAAAAGGGUGUUUGACUGCGAGACCUACAAGUCGAGCAGGGACGAAAGUCGGGCUUAGUGAUCCGGCGGUGCUGAAUGGAAAGGCCGUCGCUCAACGGAUAAAAGCUACCCUGGGGAUAACAGGCUGAUCUCCCCCAAGAGUCCACAUCGACGGGGAGGUU